Molecule: ribosomal RNA, 1364 nt
Filed under: Pediococcus pentosaceus
Lineage: Bacteria; Bacillati; Bacillota; Bacilli; Lactobacillales; Lactobacillaceae
Description: bacterial SSU rRNA
Rfam family: Bacterial small subunit ribosomal RNA
Source: RNAcentral
ACGAACUUCCGUUAAUUGAUUAUGACGUACUUGUACUGAUUGAGAUUUUAACACGAAGUGAGUGGCGAACGGGUGAGUAACACGUGGGUAACCUGCCCAGAAGUAGGGGAUAACACCUGGAAACAGAUGCUAAUACCGUAUAACAGAGAAAACCGCAUGGUUUUCUUUUAAAAGAUGGCUCUGCUAUCACUUCUGGAUGGACCCGCGGCGUAUUAGCUAGUUGGUGAGGUAAAGGCUCACCAAGGCAGUGAUACGUAGCCGACCUGAGAGGGUAAUCGGCCACAUUGGGACUGAUACACGGCCCAGACUCCUACGGGAGGCAGCAGUAGGGAAUCUUCCACAAUGGACGCAAGUCUGAUGGAGCAACGCCGCGUGAGUGAAGAAGGGUUUCGGCUCGUAAAGCUCUGUUGUUAAAGAAGAACGUGGGUAAGAGUAACUGUUUACCCAGUGACGGUAUUUAACCAGAAAGCCACGGCUAACUACGUGCCAGCAGCCGCGGUAAUACGUAGGUGGCAAGCGUUAUCCGGAUUUAUUGGGCGUAAAGCGAGCGCAGGCGGUCUUUUAAGUCUAAUGUGAAAGCCUUCGGCUCAACCGAAGAAGUGCAUUGGAAACUGGGAGACUUGAGUGCAGAAGAGGACAGUGGAACUCCAUGUGUAGCGGUGAAAUGCGUAGAUAUAUGGAAGAACACCAGUGGCGAAGGCGGCUGUCUGGUCUGCAACUGACGCUGAGGCUCGAAAGCAUGGGUAGCGAACAGGAUUAGAUACCCUGGUAGUCCAUGCCGUAAACGAUGAUUACUAAGUGUUGGAGGGUUUCCGCCCUUCAGUGCUGCAGCUAACGCAUUAAGUAAUCCGCCUGGGGAGUACGACCGCAAGGUUGAAACUCAAAAGAAUUGACGGGGGCCCGCACAAGCGGUGGAGCAUGUGGUUUAAUUCGAAGCUACGCGAAGAACCUUACCAGGUCUUGACAUCUUCUGACAGUCUAAGAGAUUAGAGGUUCCCUUCGGGGACAGAAUGACAGGUGGUGCAUGGUUGUCGUCAGCUCGUGUCGUGAGAUGUUGGGUUAAGUCCCGCAACGAGCGCAACCCUUAUUACUAGUUGCCAGCAUUAAGUUGGGCACUCUAGUGAGACUGCCGGUGACAAACCGGAGGAAGGUGGGGACGACGUCAAAUCAUCAUGCCCCUUAUGACCUGGGCUACACACGUGCUACAAUGGAUGGUACAACGAGUCGCGAGACCGCGAGGUUAAGCUAAUCUCUUAAAACCAUUCUCAGUUCGGACUGUAGGCUGCAACUCGCCUACACGAAGUCGGAAUCGCUAGUAAUCGCGGAUCAGCAUGCCGCGGUGAAUACGUUCCCGGGCCUUGUAC